GCACAAAACGCCGAGGUUCCGGCUGCAGGUUCCCUGGUGGGGCAGUAACGUGCCAUAAGCACCACUUACGGCACUUUACUGGUGAUGGCCUUUGGAGACUGGCUUUUAGCAGUGUAUUCAGGAAGAGAAGUGGGAAAUGACCAUGGAAAUUACGCAGCUUGCGAGCUCCAGCUUCCUUUCAAAUGACUUCGCUACACAAAUUUCACUUUGCAGUAUAUCAAUAUAUAUACAGCAUCUUUCCUUGACGCUUAAAUGGACGCUGUAUUUUUCUUCUGGGAUCUCCAUGCAUAGAAAAACAAACAAAAUCUGCACACUCAGAAUGCUCAGACCUGACUGCCUCCUGCAAAAAUGAGCUAUAGGGUAACCCAAGAGAUAAUCAUCGGAGGAUAACUGCGUGUUAUCCCCAUGCAAAACCCCUAUCUGCAUUCGAAAGGGGGAGCUGCAGAAGCUGCUAACGGUCCAGAAACAUCCUGAGGACACAAAAUUUGCCUUCACAAAACUCCUAAAGAAAGAUAACGGAUGGAAACCUCAAAGAACACAAAACCCGGGUUUUCAGGGUUUUUUAGCUGCACGUGAACGAACCGAAGUACCAGAUAAAGCUCAAUUAUCCUUUAAAGCUUACCUUUUGUUGUCGUAGUUGUUUGUAAGCCACGCAGCUGUUCUCCAGAACACCACCUGCAAGAACCUGCACGCGGAGCGUUCCGUCUUUGCAGCGUCAGUAAGAAUCAAGGGCAAGAGUUUGCUGGGAGUUUCUAACUUUCAAAAUGUUCAAAGAGAGAUUCACCUGAUUGAAAAGCUGCUUUCCCAUUAUUUAGUGCAGAAAACUGAAAAAGAUAUUGUAAUUAAGCUCAGGAGAUCAAUUAGCAUGUUAAACAACCACACGCGAGAUUCAAAACGUUACUCGCGGGUCAGCCAAUAGAAGAGAGUGCUCACAGGUGGAACUUUCUAGACUUGAUGAUGGUGCAGGGACAGCUGAACCUGUGGGCCUGAGCACCCAGCUGCGAGUAAUUGCGCUACAAAUCAGGGCCUGAAUAUAAGUUCCCCCCUGGGGGGUUUGACUUUUGUUUGUUCGGAGAACUGAUCGGUGUGAAGUUGCUCCCCCGGGAUGCCGUCAAGCUACGUUUUGAGCUGGAACAAGAUUGGGAAAAAGAUGGUGGUUUGACCACGAGGAUUGCUCGAGAAUGAAGGGGGACUACUCCGAUGAGCACAUGGAGGGAUGCAAAGACGGAAGAUGCCUCAUCUGCUGGGAAAUUCAACUACAACUGAAAUAGCUCAUCAUAAGCAAUAGUGAGCAGAGUGAUUACGGUCAAAAACGCAACACAGUGAGUGAGUAAUGCAUGCAGCUCCAGCUCUUCCCUACCUCUUAUGGACGAUGGGAGGUUGAAACAGCUCAUCUUUGAGAACUUUUGUUCCUGGUUUUGGGACACUUGAAAGAGAGCAUCUCCCAGUGGCAAAGAUAAGAGCCCACGUCCUUCCUGUAUCCUGUGGCUAUGCAUUCUCAGCCACAAGAGUCAGCAAGUCCCCUUCCAGAGGGAAGCGAUUUGGACAAUAACAUCUCAGACUGAUGCUGCUAAUCUGCCCUUACCCAAGGGAAGUGGGUGAGGUCAGAAGACGGGGAAAGACUUGUCUGCUGUCAGGAUGAUGGUGAAACUGACGCAUCAAAUAGAGCUGAAUGCUGCUGUAAAGUGCCUAGGGUCCCAACCUGUGGAAAUCGAAGUCUCUGAGGAUUCCUAUGUGAUCAAAGGCUGGAUUUCACUUCUCAAAGAGUCAGCUUUUGAGCAUUCCUUUGUGGAGCUGCAAGAACAUAAAGUCAUCACAGAGAGCCUCGUUAAAAGUGUUUAAUGAGAGCAGUGUGAUCCCACAGCCCAAGGGUCAGCAUGAGAGCAAGGACAGCCCAGAAGCCUCGUCCCACCAGAGCCGGGUAUCAUCAGGAGACCCCAUUCACCGAGGGACACAUUGACUGCUGUCACCAACACCCAGACAGGCACAGGAGACAAAGCAACCCAAGAGAACUGCAGCUGGGUAACAACGCCAGUGCGAAUUUCUCAGCCCAGAACAAGCCAAGACUCACUUCUGGCCAAAAUUCCUGCACUAAUGCUAACCACCAUCUGAUUACAUGAUUUUCCUGAGAUCCUGAUGCAAGUCGUUGUCACAGAAAGGGCUCAUGUGGGCACACUGCAGCCCAGGUUCCCUGCUGCCUACCUCUGCCUCUGGUUGGUCCGGUGCCCCGAGCAGCCCCAUCACCUGUGCUCUGCUCCCUGCUGGAAAAACAUGCUCGUUUUCAAAGGUAAGGGAGUCUUGGGUUACUAGGAACACAAAUCAUUAUGAGUAAAACUGCAUUCCCAAUUUAUUGUAUUUGUUUUAUUUAUAAUUUUAUUACUUAUUCCACAUUUUCCAUAUUUUCCAUGUGUUUCGCGUCAUUCUGGUCCAUUUUGGCCUUGACAUGGAAACUUGGGCUCUUCUCCCUGCCUGAUGUGUUGAAGGCUUUAUAAACAGCCUUGCUUCAUUGUUUGCUCUGCCUGUUUCCAUCCCGCAGGUGUGUGGCUGGAGCUGUGCUUGGGACAAAUCCGAAUGCUCUCUGCCUGGGGAGCAGGAUGGGGCUGAGGGGAAGAAAAGCAGCAGUUAAUGCAGUAAGUGGUGAAAAUUAAGCAAAUUGUUCAAGUGGUGCUUUAACAAAGAACAGUUUGAGACUCCUCUGAUUUGUGGGUUCUCUUUUUCGUGUGAAAGAAAGAAGAGAGAAGGAGAUUUUUCCAUGCAGUCAACAUGUUGCAUGUGCACGGCCAGAGUUCUCGUGAACCAAAAACCAAUUCACUGACUGAGGAAACUCCUCCCCGUGUUGGUUCAUUCCCUGUGCUGCACAUCUGCUUCUGGAAGCCAUGACCCACUGCUCAUCCGCCGGGCUGACAGCACACCAAGUCCUGCCUAAAUGCAAGAACCUCAGAGCAUCAGUAGGACAUCCCACCCAGCCAAAGAACCCGGAGGAAACUUCUAAGCUUGUAUGAGUCACUCAUCAUCUCAAGCAGCAUUAGAAGGAAAUUGCCUUAGGGCACUGUCAUCACCAUUUGUGAGUAUUUGUUGACAGCAAAUGUCUGUGCUACUGUUACGAACCUCAGGCUGGGCUAGGUUUGAACCUAAGAUCACCACUUUUAGCACUUAUACAUUGGCCAGCUGGGCUGAAAAAUGGAGAAUUCAGCAUCACCAGAAGCUGGCAGUUGCCUUAAAGUUAAUGUGCAUCUGCGCAUAGCCUUUGCCAGCAACAAAUGCAGAGUGAUGGGCUUAGCUUAGUUGAGAACAAAGUAUUCUUACAUCCCAAUGAACCUGAAAAGAGGGAGGUGAAAAAAAAUACCAUUACUGAUCUGGAACUAGAUGUUAGCAGGGGACAAAACUGCAAAUAGAUAUGCACACACACACUUCUGCCAUUGUUACACAAUCUUUCACAGCUACCAACAAUCUGCACAUUAUCCCUGAGUCUAGUUCACGUUCCCAUGAUCUGAUGGCAUCACCAGGAGAGUGCUUAUGUGUUCCAGCCAGGGCAAGCAGCACAGACUGGAGGCUUCCCAGGCAAGAAUAAGGUUGAUGCGUGUGUCACCUAAAAGCCCCCCUUCCACAUAUCUCACUCUAAGACAUCUCCCUGAAUUUACUGCCUACAAACCAACUGGCAAGCAGACAUUACAGCUUUUCCUAAAAUUUAGGUGAGCAGCAGCAAGGAGGUGGCUGGGCCAUUGCCUCCCAGCUCUUCCUCCAGGCUGCUCAGCUCAGUCUGUGUAACCUCAUCAGCAUCCUAGCAAAAAGCUAUUUUUGCCUCCUAAACAAGCACAAGAAAAACCUUGGUUGAAGCAGAAUGGAAAAGAGCUUCAUGGCUUCCCUGGAGAAGGGGAAUGCAAGAUGGUGGUUGGUAGCCAUCUAUCCCAUCUGUUGGAGCCUAGACCCAGUUUUGUCUAAAGAUCCAUGGACAAAUUUGAUGUGCUCACAAAGGGUGGCUGAGAUCCUAGCAGAGCUGAAGUUGACUUCAGACCUGGCCAGCCCAAGCAGAGGACAUUGCUGUUGUUUAAAAAUGAUACUCAUUAAGAGCAGAAGUCAGGCAAUGAUCACCUUCUGUAGUUGAUAAUACUCAAGGAGGGAGAUGGUGGAAAAAUGAAACCUUGGAAAAUAAAACUUAUUUGGCACCGCUGAUUAAAACCAGUUUGUGUUUCAUUGUUAAAGGCUGUGUUUGCUCAAGGUUUAUUCAGCUCUGGUCUCUUCCAUCCACAUACGGUUUGUUUUAAUGACUGUGGAGUUAUAUGAAUCUAUUAAUUUUUUUUUCCUGAAAGUUUCAUAACAACAAUGCCUGUUUUUUUCAUACAGCACUUUACAGCCACGCAUCUGGAAAUACAUUGCAAAUAGGCAAUUAGUAUCAGCCCUAUUUUGAAGAUGGAGAUACUCAGAGUCCAAGCAAGACAGCUAUUAAAGAACGGUGCCAAAAUUAGGCCUUUUGCUUCAUCUUGACAAGCUAGAACUACAGCCUCUUGAAGACAACAGGGAUGCAUGAAAAGCAUUUCAUUUAGCUAGCAGUAACUCUGUCUCAGGUUGGACAGACAAGAGGACAGCAGCAAAGACAGACUGACUCAUGCUAAACAACAGAGGUAGGAAGAGGACUUCCAGUAAUGACAGACUUAGGCCACUGCAAGCACUUACUUCCCAAAACCAGUGCUGAGGGAUCCAUCUCCAGUGAAGGGCUGACCAUCACAGGUUCCUGUUUUCUGAUAAGAGCUUGCUGCAUUUUUCCUCUCCACGUUUUUCAGCCUUUCCAGAUCUUCCUGUUAAAGCACAGAGUUGAAAACCAAUAAGAUAAUAUUAUUUGAGGCAAAUCUCUAACCCUUUAAUCAGGCUAUGUGGGAGGCAAGAAAAUGUUAGAUGCAAGGGAAUAUUAAAUUAAUAAUACUAUGUUGAAGUUGAGAUUAGUCAGAUUCCAGAGACAUAUAAUAACUAACUGCUGCCACCUCUGAUAUGGAUGUGUGGAGGCAAUGAGCAGGCUCACAGCAAGGAAGCAGGUCCUGGGCAGGACAAUGCUGCCAGACAUACUGUGGCAGUGCACUCAGCCCUUCACAUAGCUGCUGGAUGUAAUAGAACAGCCCCUGCAAAAGCUCAGAGCAGCCUUAUCCCAAAGUGCUGCACGGUCUUCCCACCUCUCCAUCGCAUCCAGCCCAACCUGGGGUGCUGCAUCCAGGGGUGCCCAGUCCUGUCUGGUGUUCCUGGAUCCCUGCUCACAGGUGGGAUGCUCAGGAGUGUCAGUGAUGGGAGUGAAAAUGAGGUGAACAGGUAAGAAUACAGACACUAUAAAGAAGUGAAGAGUGAAGAAACAUUUGGAAGAAAAACACAAAGGAAUUAAAGAUAUCUAGAGUGAAAGAGAUGGUGAAUGGCCUGAAGGGAGUUAAUGAGAUCCAGAAAUGCAAGUUGGAGAAAUGUUGAUUUUAUUUAGCAUUAAUUGCAGGAAAGAGCCUAUAAAGUGUGGUAAAAAAAUUAUUAAGUACCACUAUGCAAUGCCAGCUUUAUGCCAGCCAUCCCUACGAAGCAGGUGUAUUAUUCCUAGUUCCCUAGGUAUAAAUAAAUAACUGCUUUUCCAUGGUUUUCUUUUUUUUUUUUCUUUUUUAAAUGAUGGCUUUUCAUUAAUUUUUACUGCCAUAUUGUUAUAGUUCUGAUUCCUCCAGAGCAGCUCUGGGGAUCAGUUGGUGCUGGAGUGUGUGUAUGCAGGUUGGUACCUGCGAGCCAUGGGGCACUGCAUGGGAGAUGCAGUGUCUGUGAUCAUAGCACCCCAGGGGUGCAGCCCUGGUCUUCUUGCCCAUGGACUAAACAUGACCUCACCCAUGGUCUGAGCUCUGACAGCAACAUCUGGGUAAAUACAGAAAGGAACCUGAUGGAAAAUGGACAGUUUGAUGGUUGAUGGACAGUUGAAGGGUGAUGCAUUUUGCAUUGAGGGCUCAUACAGCAAAGCCCAGAAGGAACAGACGGACCACGUUACCCAAGAAACCUUUCCCAAGAUUGAGGUUGCCCUGGGAAAGAACAUUCUGAGGGACAUCACCACGAUGCAAGCACUGGUAUCAUGUCAACCCAUUGGUUGUGGUGUUGGCCUCUGGUGUCAGGGACGGGGAGUUGGGCUUCCCAUGCCACCACAGCCAUCCAGCACUCCUGACUGCACACUCCAAGACAAGAAAAGAAAAGGGAAAAUAAAACCUAUGUUCCGUUCCACUUUUAACUUUCUGCUCAUGCCCAUACAUUCCUCCUGGCGUUAUUACAAACGGGCUCCAAUGUUGCCUUUGUUAAGAAUGAGAGCAGAGCACAUUUCCCCGAGCAAUGUUUGUAUCAGCAUUUUCAGGCUCCUUUUAUCGAGUCUCGCACUUCUCAGAGGAGACUCAGCGGGGAGAUGAGCUCUGGAUGCGUUUUCCUAGCAACGUCUCGCUUCAGAGAGGCCACCAAAGACGUUCAGGGAAGCAGUGAUUCCCUGGUAGUGCCUCAGUCCAAGCUCUGACCUGGAACCGUGGGCUCAGCAAAUACACAUAAAUCUUCAGCUCACGUCCAAAUCAUCGCAAGGUUCAGUGAAAAUAGCAAAACUGCCAGUGGAUCUAACCGAAGUUUUAAUCCAGCUCCAGCAUGAUUUAUGGCCUCAGGUGGAAACCAUGAAGCACGAUGGCCUCAGCCCAAGCCAGGGGACGUUCGGCUGCCCCAGCCCUAAGGUGUUGUGUUACGGCACUGAAGAAUCAAGGCUGCAAGAGGCAUGGAUGAAACUGAACAGCACAAACACAUCCCAGCAACGCCUUCAACCUCUGUGCAUCACAGGCAGAGUAAGUGCCACUGAUAGAUCACACCAGCCUCCUCCACAAGGACGGAGGGAAUUAAAAAAAUACAUAAAAAUCAAAUAAUAAUAGGAGCAAGCGACCAAUAGAGGCAUUUUUUUCUGAUUAAAAAUAGCAAUUGACAAGCUCCACCAUUUGCAACAGUGCUUCCCUAAAUGCAGUAGUGCUAUGUUUGUCAGGACAUUUAUAAUGGCUUUAUAACACAUAUUUCCCUUUCAAAAUGCUAUUCAAUAGUAGAAAACCCACAUUCCAUCCACCAAAAAAAUAAGUCUCAGUGACCCAAUUUUCUAGAGAAGAAUGAAUGUCCUCUCCCUUCUGACUCUCAUUAGCCACCUGCAUAUUGGAAAACUAACAACAAGAGCAAUCAGCACACAGCACAAGGUCCCAGUGCCAUGACCAGAAGGGCUUUUGCCCCAUCCCUGUAUCAGCACAUCCCUAGGAACCUGCAACCAAUCCCUACCCCACAGCCAUCCCACGCAUCUGCAGCACUCCAUGGCUCAGCUGAGAAUACCACGCAGCCUGAGCUGACGUGGGCCGGUGAUUUAACAUCUGCAUCCCACCCUGGUGCCAAGCCUGUCUUUUUUCCAAUACUCAGCAUCCCUCCAUGCACAUGUAAAUAUCCAAAGGGAAACACUGCAGCAGAACUUUUGACCUGCACCAUAAUCCCAGACAGGACGUUAUAGCAACACCUGCAAUGCGCUCUGGCUUUUCCAGCUGAGAGCACUGUGAUCAUGGCACUGCCGUCCCCUCGGGGCACCACAGAUGACCAUGAGCUAAUGAGCACAGUGCAGACACUCUGCAGGAUUUUUGUUCUGAGGCGAUGAGAAAUGGUUCACCAGAAUUGGAGAACCCAAGCAGAGAUGCUCAGGAAGACGUAACCAGUGCCGAAUGAGUUCAGUUCUCCUCUCGUUUUGCCUUUAUACCACAAUGUCUCUGUGCAGACAAAACCUGAGAACUGUCUUCUGAUUUUUCAGACCAGUUUCUCAUCCCUGUGACAGCAGUGUGAUGUAGAGAUCACAAAACCCAGCCAGUCCCCAGCACUCCUUACUACAGCCUCACACAUCAGCCCUCGCACAUCCAUGCUGAGGUGGGUGCUGGCAAAAGCAAAAACCUUGGUUCUCUCCCUCUCUUCCAGUGGGAAACCAGAGAGAUCCCCAGCUCUUCUCAUUGGAAAAGUGUCAGCUUGCACUGAAAGGGUUUCUGCAGGUCCUAUGUUGUAAAUGAACAAAGAUUAAAAAAAAACACAACUUUUUUUUUUCCCUAAACUCAAGUGAAAGGAAGAGUGUGACAAGGAGUCAGGAGUCUGUCUGGCGUGGAAUAUUCCUGCAGCACUCGGGGCUGUGGUUUAUUUUACUGGUGGUGACUAGUUCAAGCCACAUUUAGUCAAUAAAUAUGAGAUAUGAGGUCACCCCGCCAUUUAGCUGUUACCCUGUCUACAUAUUUCACAGCUGGGCAGUAACCUUUUAACUAGCGUCUACCUCGGUGGGGAGUCUCCAUAAAAAAAGAGCCAGGAUCCCUUGGUCGUGGUGGGGGACCCAGGCGCAGGAGCUCCACAAGGAGUUCUGAGCAGAAGGGCCUGCACCAGGCUCUGCCUUUUGCUCUCAUGCCCAUUUGCAGCGCACAGCACCCAGCUGGGCUACGUGCAGGGAUCGGGUGAUGGAGCCACAUCCCAUGUGCUGAGCUCUACAAUAAGAUCCCCCUUCUUCUACGUGGAGAUAGGCCACAUGACAAGUUUCCUGUAAUUCCCAGCUUUGGGAGCACCUAUCCAAGGUGAAUGUUUCCAAGGAGCUCAACACCUUCAAAGGGUUUGUUCUCCUCUGCCUGGGUCCACAGCUUCUCCUGUGUGCCUUUGCCUU
This 8686-nucleotide long non-coding RNA is filed under the name Gallus gallus (chicken). Its description in RNAcentral is "lncRNA (ENSGALG00010030080.1)". Lineage: Eukaryota; Metazoa; Chordata; Aves; Galliformes; Phasianidae. The record is from RNAcentral.